This 2513-nucleotide ribosomal RNA is filed under the name Klebsiella pneumoniae. RNAcentral describes it as "partial 23S ribosomal RNA". It matches the Rfam family "Bacterial large subunit ribosomal RNA", at positions 398 to 2822 of the family's 2925-position model. The record is from RNAcentral. Lineage: Bacteria; Pseudomonadati; Pseudomonadota; Gammaproteobacteria; Enterobacterales; Enterobacteriaceae.
UGUGAACUCGAAGAGUAGGGCGGGACACGUGGUAUCCUGUCUGAAUAUGGGGGGACCAUCCUCCAAGGCUAAAUACUCCUGACUGACCGAUAGUGAACCAGUACCGUGAGGGAAAGGCGAAAAGAACCCCGGCGAGGGGAGUGAAAAAGAACCUGAAACCGUGUACGUACAAGCAGUGGGAGCACCUUCGGGUGUGACUGCGUACCUUUUGUAUAAUGGGUCAGCGACUUAUAUUCUGUAGCAAGGUUAACCGUAUAGGGGAGCCGCAGGGAAACCGAGUCUUAACUGGGCGUUAAGUUGCAGGGUAUAGACCCGAAACCCGGUGAUCUAGCCAUGGGCAGGUUGAAGGUUGGGUAACACUAACUGGAGGACCGAACCGACUAAUGUUGAAAAAUUAGCGGAUGACUUGUGGCUGGGGGUGAAAGGCCAAUCAAACCGGGAGAUAGCUGGUUCUCCCCGAAAGCUAUUUAGGUAGCGCCUCGUGAACUCAUCUUCGGGGGUAGAGCACUGUUUCGGCUAGGGGGUCAUCCCGACUUACCAACCCGAUGCAAACUACGAAUACCGAAGAAUGUUAUCACGGGAGACACACGGCGGGUGCUAACGUCCGUCGUGAAGAGGGAAACAACCCAGACCGCCAGCUAAGGUCCCAAAGUCAUGGUUAAGUGGGAAACGAUGUGGGAAGGCACAGACAGCCAGGAUGUUGGCUUAGAAGCAGCCAUCAUUUAAAGAAAGCGUAAUAGCUCACUGGUCGAGUCGGCCUGCGCGGAAGAUGUAACGGGGCUAAACCAUGCACCGAAGCUGCGGCAGCGACACUAUGUGUUGUUGGGUAGGGGAGCGUUCUGUAAGCCUGCGAAGGUGUGCUGUGAGGCAUGCUGGAGGUAUCAGAAGUGCGAAUGCUGACAUAAGUAACGAUAAAGCGGGUGAAAAGCCCGCUCGCCGGAAGACCAAGGGUUCCUGUCCAACGUUAAUCGGGGCAGGGUGAGUCGACCCCUAAGGCGAGGCCGAAAGGCGUAGUCGAUGGGAAACAGGUUAAUAUUCCUGUACUUGGUGUUACUGCGAAGGGGGGACGGAGAAGGCUAUGUUAGCCGGGCGACGGUUGUCCCGGUUUAAGCAUGUAGGCUGAUUNNNNNNNNNNNNNNNNNNNNNNNNNNNNNNNNNNNNNNNNNNNNNNNNNNNNNNNNNNNNNNNNNNNNNNNNNNNNNNNNNNNNNNNNNNNNNNNNCCAAGGCUGAGGUGUGAUGACGAGGCACUACGGUGCUGAAGUAACAAAUGCCCUGCUUCCAGGAAAAGCCUCUAAGCAUCAGGUAACAUCAAAUCGUACCCCAAACCGACACAGGUGGUCAGGUAGAGAAUACCAAGGCGCUUGAGAGAACUCGGGUGAAGGAACUAGGCAAAAUGGUGCCGUAACUUCGGGAGAAGGCACGCUGGUGUGUAGGUGAAGUCCCUGCGGAUGGAGCUGAGACCAGUCGAAGAUACCAGCUGGCUGCAACUGUUUAUUAAAAACACAGCACUGUGCAAACACGAAAGUGGACGUAUACGGUGUGACGCCUGCCCGGUGCCGGAAGGUUAAUUGAUGGGGUUAUCCGUAAGGAGAAGCUCUUGAUCGAAGCCCCGGUAAACGGCGGCCGUAACUAUAACGGUCCUAAGGUAGCGAAAUUCCUUGUCGGGUAAGUUCCGACCUGCACGAAUGGCGUAAUGAUGGCCAGGCUGUCUCCACCCGAGACUCAGUGAAAUUGAACUCGCUGUGAAGAUGCAGUGUACCCGCGGCAAGACGGAAAGACCCCGUGAACCUUUACUAUAGCUUGACACUGAACAUUGAGCCUUGAUGUGUAGGAUAGGUGGGAGGCUUUGAAGCGUGGACGCCAGUCUGCGUGGAGCCAACCUUGAAAUACCACCCUUUAAUGUUUGAUGUUCUAACGUUGGCCCCUGACCGGGGUUGCGGACAGUGUCUGGUGGGUAGUUUGACUGGGGCGGUCUCCUCCCAAAGCGUAACGGAGGAGCACGAAGGUUAGCUAAUCCUGGUCGGACAUCAGGAGGUUAGUGCAAUGGCAUAAGCUAGCUUGACUGCGAGCGUGACGGCGCGAGCAGGUGCGAAAGCAGGUCAUAGUGAUCCGGUGGUUCUGAAUGGAAGGGCCAUCGCUCAACGGAUAAAAGGUACUCCGGGGAUAACAGGCUGAUACCGCCCAAGAGUUCAUAUCGACGGCGGUGUUUGGCACCUCGAUGUCGGCUCAUCACAUCCUGGGGCUGAAGUAGGUCCCAAGGGUAUGGCUGUUCGCCAUUUAAAGUGGUACGCGAGCUGGGUUUAGAACGUCGUGAGACAGUUCGGUCCCUAUCUGCCGUGGGCGCUGGAGAAUUGAGGGGGGCUGCUCCUAGUACGAGAGGACCGGAGUGGACGCAUCACUGGUGUUCGGGUUGUCAUGCCAAUGGCACUGCCCGGUAGCUAAAUGCGGAAGAGAUAAGUGCUGAAAGCAUCUAAGCACGAAACUUGCCCCGAGAUGAGUUCUCCCUGAGACU